UACGUAGGGUGCAAGCGUUGUCCGGAAUUAUUGGGCGUAAAGAGCUCGUAGGCGGUUCGUCGCGUCGGCUGUGAAAACCCGGAGCUCAACUCCGGGCCUGCAGUCGAUACGGGCGGACUUGAGUGUUGCAGGGGAGACUGGAAUUCCUGGUGUAGCGGUGAAAUGCGCAGAUAUCAGGAGGAACACCUAUUGCGAAGGCAGCUCGCUGGGACGUAACUGACGCUGAGACGCGAAAGCGUGGGGAGCAAACAGG
Molecule: ribosomal RNA, 253 nt
Filed under: uncultured bacterium
Lineage: Bacteria
Description: partial 16S ribosomal RNA
Rfam family: Bacterial small subunit ribosomal RNA
Source: RNAcentral